GACGAACGCUGGCGGCGUGCUUAACACAUGCAAGUCGAGCGGAAAUGCCCUGCUUUUGUGGGGUGCUCGAGUGGCGAACGGGUGAGUAACACGUGAGUAACCUGCCCUUGACUUUGGGAUAACUUCAUGCAACUGGGGCUAAUACCGGAUAGGAGCUCCUGCUGCUUGGUGGGGGUUGGACAGUUUCGGUGGUUGGGGAUGGACUUGCGUCUGAUCAGCUUGUUGGUGGGGUAGUGGCUUACCAAGGCUUUGACGGGUAGCCGGGCUGAGAGGGUGACCGGCAAAAUUAGGACUGAGAUGCGGCCCAGACUCCUACGGGAGGCAGCAGUGGGGAGUAUUGCACAAUGGGAGGAAGCAUGAUGCAGCAACGCCGCGUGCGGGAUAACGGGCUGCGGGUUGGAAACCGAUAUCGUCUGUGACGAAGCGUGAGUGACGGUAAUGGGUAAAGAAGCACCGGCUAACUACGUG
RNAcentral lists this ribosomal RNA (468 nucleotides) under uncultured bacterium. Its description in RNAcentral is "partial 16S ribosomal RNA". It matches the Rfam family "Bacterial small subunit ribosomal RNA", at positions 28 to 507 of the family's 1533-position model. The record is from RNAcentral.